RNAcentral lists this ribosomal RNA (550 nucleotides) under uncultured bacterium. RNAcentral's name for it is "bacterial SSU rRNA". It matches the Rfam family "Bacterial small subunit ribosomal RNA", at positions 355 to 896 of the family's 1533-position model. The record is from RNAcentral.
UGGGGAAUUUUGGACAAUGGGCGCAAGCCUGAUCCAGCCAUGCCGAGUGUGUGAAGAAGGCCUUUGGGUCGUAAAGCACUUUCGGACGGAACGAAAUCGCGCGAGUUAAUAGCCCGCGUGGAUGACGGUACCGUAAGAAGAAGCACCGGCUAAGUAUGUGCCAGCAGCCGCGGUAAUACGUAGGGUGCGAGCGUUAAUCGGAAUUUCUGGGCGUAAAGGGUGCGCAGGCGGCCCUGCAAGUCAGUCGUGAAAUCCCCGAGCUCAAAUUGGGAAUGGCGCUUGAAAGUACGGGGCUGGAGUGUGGCGGAGGGAGGUGGAAUUCCACGUGUAGCGGUGAAAUGCGUAGAUAUUUGGAGGAACACUGAUGGCGAAGGCAGCCUCGUGGGCCAACACUGACGGUCAUGCACGAAAGCGUGGGGAGCAAACAGGAUUAGAUACCCUGGUAGUGCACGCCCUAAACGAUGACGACUAGUUGUUGGAGGAGUUAAAUCCUUUAGUAACGAAGCUAACGCGCGAAGUCGUCCCCCUGGGGACUACGGUCGCAAGAUUA